RNAcentral lists this long non-coding RNA (5041 nucleotides) under Triticum aestivum (bread wheat). RNAcentral describes it as "long non-coding RNA (TAES_LNC000254)". The record is from RNAcentral. Lineage: Eukaryota; Viridiplantae; Streptophyta; Magnoliopsida; Poales; Poaceae.
UCUCCGAUAUAUAUAAUCCUAAGACUCAAAAUAGUUUUCUUCUAGACUCAACAACAACCAACUACAAAUAAUCAAGGGGGCUCCUAUGGUCGGUCGAGGCUCUGAUACCAACUUGUCACGCCCAAUAUGCGACACUAUCCUAAAGAGACUCGGAGGUCCCACCAAGGAUAGAACCGCAUAUUGACACGCUUUUGCAAGGUGGAUAUCAUUACAUCGAUCCAUUACAUAAUAGAUGGGAUACAUACAAGGCAUACAAAUGCCGCAAGAAUACAUCAACAUCAUACAUGAGAACAUCCGGCUACGGAUGAAACACAAACAAAAGCUCAAACGACAUCCACCCUGCUAGCCUAGGUUGCCGACCAGGAACCAAACCCAAGAUCAACGAAGAAGAAGAAGGACUUAAAAUGUGCAAACAUCGCUCUUGCGUCAUGAACAUCGCAUUACCUAUACCUGCAACUGUUGGUGUAGUAAUCUGUGAGCCACGAGGACACAGCAAUCCAAUUACCAUGGUUAUCAAGACUAGCAAAGCUUAAUGGGUAUGGAAAGGGUAAGUGGUGAGGUUGCAGCAAGUGGCUAAGCAAUGUAUGGUGGCUAACAUACAAGUACAAGAAUAAGAUGAGAAACUACGCAAACGGUUGCCAACUAGUAAUGAUCAAGAAGUGAUCCUGAACUACUUAUGUUAAAACAUAACCCAACCGUGUUCUCCUCUCGAACUUCCCCGAAAAGAGACAAUCACGGCUACGCAACGCGGUUGGUGUGUUUUAGUUAAGUUUACUUCAAGUCCUCUACAACCGGUAUUAACAAAUUCCCAUCUGCCACAUAACCACGGGCACGGCUUUCGAAAGAUUAAACCCUGCAGGGGUGUCCCAACUUAGCCCAUGACAAGCUCACGAUCCGCGGAGACAAUCCUCCAUCGCGGGACCCUCCGAUCAGACUCGGAAUCCCGGUGAACAAGACAUUUCGCCAAUGGUAAAACUAAUCCAGCAAAGCCUCCCGGCGUGUCGACACCCUGAUAGUAGACGCGCGUAUCUAGUCUCAGGCUACAUCCAGAUGAGCGCAGCGUACAGCAACCGAGACCCGAGUUGCCCCGGGGGAAGCCGCACAUGACUCUAGUUUGGACCAGCACCAUCAGCACUGGCCCCCUGUAUGUAGAAAAGAAUCCUCGGGGACGCGACCCCCUAUGCUAAUUAAUUAAUUGUCAGGUUUAGUUAUUAUGUUGAGAAAAUGGUAAAACCAAUGUUGGGCCUUGCUGCAAGAGUUUUAUUCAAAGCGAACUGUCAAGAGGGGCCCAUAAACCCUCACUGUGUUAGGGACACAAAAUCAAGGAACAUAACACCGGUAUGACGGAAACUAGGGUGGCAAGUGAGGAACAAAACACCAGGCAAAAGACCGAGCCUUCCACCCUUUACCAAGUAUAUAUGUGCAUUAAUUAAAUAAGAGAUAUUGUGAUAUCCCAUGAUAUCCAUGAUAUCCAUGUCCCAACAUGGAACAACCUACAACUGCACCUGCAACUCGCAACGCUAUAAGAGGGGCUGAGCAAAGCGGUAACAUAGCCAAACAACGGUUUGCUAGGAAGGGUGAAAAGGUUAGAGGCUAUCAUGGCAAUUUGGGACGCUUGAUAAACAAGUGGUAGGUAGCGCGACAUAGCGGUAGCAUCGAGACAACUAGCAUAGCAAAGAUAGUAGUGAGAUCCAAGGUGACGGUCAUCUUGCCUGAAAUCCCGCUAGGAAGAAGAACGAGUCCAUGAAGAAGAUGGAGCCACGUAGACGAACGAAUCCUCACAAACGCAAUAAAACAUGAACAAUCAAGAGGAGCACAACCGGAAAGAAGCAAACACCAUGGUAAACAAACAAGCAUAAACAUGGCAUGAUGCAUGUACGGUUUAAUGAGGCAUGGCAAGGCAAAGUGCAACAAACAAUACUACAAAUUAAGUGGAGCUCAAUAUGCAACGAGUUGCAUAUCGACGAAACCCCACAUUCCAAAUAUUUAGUUCGCUCUUGUUUAGCUACUCAUCAAUAAUAAAUGUUGUUAAACAUGGCAAGGGAUGAAACAUAAGUAAACUACAUAUUUAGGCAUUUUAAAUGAGGUCGGAAACCACAACGAUAAUUCCAGAAAUCCCCAUGUGCAUAUUUAGCAAUUUUUAGGCAAACAACAUUUUUGAACAUUUUAAAUGUUGUUAUCAUGAUGCGGAUGACACAUACAAGUUUUAUGCAAUUUUUAUGAAAAUGUUGACAUGAGCAUAUUAUGAAGCAAUUGUCACCGUGGUGGAAACAAAGUGUGCCACGGCAACGAAUCCGAAAAUGAUGCCUCGGCAACAUAUCGGUUCCGGUAGCUCAUGGAGAUACCGGUGCAAAAGGAAGUGUGGCGGGAGCGUGUCAUGCAAGGAUGGAGGGGUGAUCCCGGAUACUGGGUUCCCACAUGUCAAUGGCAUGGGCAACGAGGAACGAGCAAGCGGCGAUUCGGACAUGGUGCAAACAUGGGCAUCUCAUGCAACACAUCACAUGCAUUCGUUCACGGGCGGUCGUCUCGGGGUUAUACCUUCGAAGCGUGCAUUUGGGGUGGAACGAGUUCGUAGCGGAAGUAGACGUUCUCGGACCGGCCGUAGAGGAAAUAAUUGUUCACGAUCAGGAAGCAGUUUAGGACGACGGUAGUUAAACUUGCUGAUCCGAGGGGGUAUUUGGCAAUCUUGUUCUUGCGACGGUAGUUGGUCACGUUCGUUCGGAGAGGUACUUGACGCGUCACGGUGUAGUCGUACUUGGCGAAUCCAAAGUGCUCCUGGUCGGGAAGGGUGCACCGGCGGCAGCCCCUUGCAGAUGUUGUGCUCGCAGCAGAAGAUGCCGGGGAAGUCAACCCGGGGCUGGGCAUGGCCUGAAGCAGAAGAGGCCGCGACGUUCGAUGACAAGUGAAGCGACGCGUGGAUCUUUGAGGACAUGGUGAUUCAGACAUCCAUGGGAGGCAGCACGGUAGAGGCGCUCCAACAGAGGGGCUCGGCAGGGUGACGCGAUGCAAGGACUCCAGCGAACGGAGCGGAGGCAGAGGUGCGCAAUGGAGAAGGACGGCGGGGACAGGCGAGCUCGCGGCUGCCGGUGAGCUUGGCGAGGCCAAGGCGGCGAGGCGGCCAUGGAGGUGGGGCGUAGCACGGCAACAGGACGGCGGCGGCUGCAGCAGGAUGGAGGUGGAGGUGCAGGAAGGCCGGGCCGCGGGCAUCCAUGGCCUCGACGAGGGGGUCGGGCGCGAGGCUCCUGUGGUGGCGAUGGCUGCACGAGCUCGCGGACGGAGCUACACGCGCGAGCAGCCUAAGGAGGGCAUCGGCGCGGGAGGAGAAGUAGGGCGCAGGUGAGGCAACGGCGCCAUGGACGAAGGAAGCAGGAGCUCGGGCGCGAUGCAGGCGGCUGCGCAGACGACGCGGGGAUGGCCAGGUGAGAGGCGAGGCAGAGGAGGGGGUCCUGGUGGCCGGCGGCAGAGGAACGGGUGGCCGGAGGGGCGGCCGGUCGCCGGGCAGUGCCGCGCGAGUGAGAUCGAGAGUGAGGCUAGGGUUAUAGGGUUGGAGGGGCGGCUGGGCCAAAUUGGGCUGGUUGGCUGCUGAUGCAGGAGGCCCAAGUGGUCGGCUGGGCUGGGCUUCUCUCUUCCCCCUCUCUCUAAAGAAAAUAAAAACAAAGCAGAGAUAAGAAAGAAAAUAAAGGGAGGUUAGGGGAAGAAGUUGGACACGCGGAUAAUUUUCCCGGACUCACAAAAAUGCGCUUGAUCUAGGAAAUAUAGAAGUGGCAUGAUGGAAAGAUAUAAAUUCAAACUCCUUUGAAUUUAAUCCAAAUGGUUUGAACUAGGACGGGUUUGAGAAGUGUCCAAAAAUGUUGAGAUUUUCGGAGGAGCCUCAAUAAAACGAUAAAUGAAUAUGAGGACAAGUCGGAGACCAAGAAUUGAGAUAACUAAGGCAUUGGGAUUUAUUUGCAAGUGUGUUCCGGUUAAUUCCAAACAAAUGGAAUAUUUAUAAUAGCUCCGUAAUUAUUAGGAGGAUAUGUUAUGAAGAGAAAUCACCAUGUGAAUCCCUCGAUUUAAAUGGACCAAAAAUCCAUAUGACUUGUUUGUUUGAGUUGAAAAAAAUUAAUGAUAUGAUGACAUGAUGCAAUGCAACAAGCAAAGAUGAAUGCAACGAACAAAACAAAUCACACGAAGAAUCUCGGAAUCCAUGGAAGGCAUCUGGAGCCUAGUUUCUAAGCUGGGAUAAAUGAGGAAUAGGACUAUUAAAUAGAUCCAGUAGAAACAGAGCUUAGGAAAAAUGUUCAACCAAGCUGGAUUAACAAAGCACGAUUUUAGGAGUAGGCAGAAAUUUGAAUCAUCAAAUUUGGAUGUGAAAUGGCUGCUGUGGAUUUAUUUGAAAUCCGCUGGAAAAGAAAAAUAUGAAAGUACAAAGAUGUACCCUGGGCAAUAUAUAGCCGUCUGGCGUUACUGGGCCGAGCCCAGCUUCUCAGUUGUGAGGAAGAGUUGAUGACGUCGAAGGUGUAUUCGCCUGGUACUUCUUCCCCGUGCGAAGGCGGCCACAGCGGAGUGUGUCUCCACUUACAGACGGGUUAGCGGCGCUGGGACACUGACAGUGGGCCCGUCUGGCCCACUAGUCAGGUUUGACCAUUCCACGCGUGCGCCUCCUUCUCCGGCCAAACAGAGGUGGAGUUCCGGCGAGGUUUGCCGCCGAACGACGGCACCACUCGGAAAACCGAGGCCACGCACGAGCUCAGGGGGUCGAGGCGGUCCCUCCGAUGGUCACCAUGGCCCCUGGGGUGGACGGAGUCGCCGGCGGCGAGCUCACCCGAGGAGCUCCGGCGGAGACGAAUCGGGCGUUUCGCCUAUGGUGGCUCCCGGGAAAAAUCGAGUGCGGGGAUGGAUCAGUGGGUGUUCAAGGAGGUCGGUGGUGACAAAAUAUGUGAGGGGGACGCACUGGCUGCGUCGGAAUCGACUAGAACAAGGCGGCGGCCGAAGCUGCCGGAGAUGGGGGAGACGACCGUUCUAGGUCGCUCUAUUGCUUGGGGGCUAAUAGAGGGAGGAG